Polypterus senegalus (gray bichir) is the source of this 432-nucleotide long non-coding RNA. RefSeq lists it as uncharacterized. Lineage: Eukaryota; Metazoa; Chordata; Cladistia; Polypteriformes; Polypteridae. The transcript has 3 exons. The record is from RefSeq and is a predicted model, not a curated record.
UACCCGAUUCAAAAUAUAUGAAGAAAUACAUACAUUUAUAAAAAAUAUGUGGAUGAGGAAUUCAUGGGAAUGGAAAUAAUGCGGGUUAAGGAUCUGAACAGGGAGACUGGCAUCCCAAAGACCUUUGUGAAAGUUUUUUUCAAUGGAAGUCAUCACAAGGAGCCUCUGUAAAGUGUCAACUAAACCAAAUCAUUAUUAGUCACGCUGCUUGUAAUCAAGUGGCGUAGCCGGCAGGAUAACUGCACUGAAGAAUCGAAAUUAUGACCGAAAGGCAGGACCUCAACACCGUGCUGCAGGGCAUGAACGCCCAGAUCCAGUCCCUGCAGCAAGCACAGGCUACUACUACCCGGGAGCUGGAGGCCGCGAAGGCGAAACUCGCGGAUGCCGAGAGGGAAAAAAGACGCUCCGCCAUCAUAACCUGACCGCACCACG